UUGACCUCAAAUCAGGUAGGACUACCCGCUGAACUUAAGCAUAUCAAUAAGCGGAGGAAAAGAAACUAACAAGGAUUCCCCUAGUAACUGCGAGUGAACCGGGAAAAGCUCAAAUUUUGAAUCUGGCGGUCUUUAGGCCGUCCGAGUUGUA
RNAcentral lists this ribosomal RNA (151 nucleotides) under Suillus bellinii. RNAcentral describes it as "partial 28S ribosomal RNA". It matches the Rfam family "Eukaryotic large subunit ribosomal RNA", at positions 1 to 147 of the family's 3401-position model. The record is from RNAcentral. Lineage: Eukaryota; Fungi; Basidiomycota; Agaricomycetes; Boletales; Suillaceae.